Molecule: ribosomal RNA, 1050 nt
Filed under: Mertensia ovum
Lineage: Eukaryota; Metazoa; Ctenophora; Tentaculata; Cydippida; Mertensiidae
Description: SSU rRNA
Rfam family: Eukaryotic small subunit ribosomal RNA
Source: RNAcentral
CUUUUAUACUGUGAAACUGCGAAUGGCUCAUUAAAUCAGUUAUCGUCUAUUUGAUUGUGCCCCUGCUACAUGGAUAACCGUAGUAAUUCUAGAGCUAAUACAUGCGAAAAGUCCCGACUUCUGGAAGGGAUGUAUUUAUUAGAUUAAAAACCAGCGCGUUCCGCAAGGGACGCUCCAAGGUGAUUCAUAAUAACUGUUCGAAUCGCACGGCCUCCGCGCCGGCGAUGUUUCAUUCGAGUUUCUGCCCUAUCAACUUUCGAUGGUAAGGUAUUGGCUUACCAUGGUUACAACGGGUAACGGAGAAUUAGGGUUCGAUUCCGGAGAGGGAGCCCGAGAAACGGCUACCACAUCCAAGGAAGGCAGCAGGCGCGCAAAUUACCCAAUCCCGAUUCGGGGAGGUAGUGACAAUAAAUAACGUUGCAGGUGCCUUUGGCCUCUGCAGUCGGAAUGAGUACAAUACAACACCCUUAACGAGGAACAAUUGGAGGGCAAGUCUGGUGCCAGCAGCCGCGGUAAUUCCAGCUCCAAUAGCGUAUAUUAAAGUUGUUGCAGUUAAAAAGCUCGUAGUUGAACUUCGGAACCGGUCGAUUGGUCCGUCCUCUGGAUUGUGUACUGAUCGAUCUGUUCUUCUUCGCGAAGACCGCGUGUGCCCUUAACUGGGUGUGCACGGGAUUCACGACGUUUACUUUGAAAAAAUUAGAGUGUUCAAAGCAGGCAUUCGCUUGAAUAUCUCAGCAUGGAAUAAUAGAAUAGGACUUUGGUCUUAUUUUGUUGGUUUCCGAGACCGAAGUAAUGAUUAAUAGGGACAGUUGGGGGCAUUCGUAUUUCAUUGUCAGAGGUGAAAUUCUUGGAUUUAUGAAAGACGAACUUCUGCGAAAGCAUUUGCCAAGGAUGUUUUCAUUAAUCAAGAACGAAAGUUGGAGGCUCGAAGACGAUCAGAUACCGUCCUAGUUCCAACCAUAAACGAUGCCGUCUGCGGAUCAGCGGUCGCUCAUUUAAGGCUCCGUUGGCACGCUAUGAGAAAUCAAAGACUUCGGGUUCCGGGGGGAG